RNAcentral lists this ribosomal RNA (497 nucleotides) under uncultured bacterium. RNAcentral describes it as "partial 16S ribosomal RNA". It matches the Rfam family "Bacterial small subunit ribosomal RNA", at positions 28 to 507 of the family's 1533-position model. The record is from RNAcentral.
GAUGAACGCUGGCGGCGUGCCUAAUACAUGCAAGUCGAGCGAACAGACGAGGAGCUUGCUCCUCUGACGUUAGCGGCGGACGGGUGAGUAACACGUGGAUAACCUACCUAUAAGACUGGGAUAACUUCGGGAAACCGGAGCUAAUACCGGAUAAUAUAUUGAACCGCAUGGUUCAAUAGUGAAAGACGGUUUUGCUGUCACUUAUAGAUGGAUCCGCGCCGCAUUAGCUAGUUGGUAAGGUAACGGCUUACCAAGGCAACGAUGCGUAGCCGACCUGAGAGGGUGAUCGGCCACACUGGAACUGAGACACGGUCCAGACUCCUACGGGAGGCAGCAGGAGGGAAUCUUCCGCAAUGGGCGAAAGCCUGACGGAGCAACGCCGCGUGAGUGAUGAAGGUCUUCGGAUCGUAAAACUCUGUUAAUAGGGAAGAACAAAUGUGUAAGUAACUAUGCACGUCUUGACGGUACCUAAUCAGAAAGCCACGGCUAACUACGUG